AAAAUCAAAUCCCUAUUAGGAUAAAUGAUUGAGUGUUCCUGUAAAGAAUUGUUCCCCUGGUUCAAGCAACCAGAUUUCAUUCCCAGAUGAUCAAAAAUGGACUUGAUGAAAUGGAAAAGCACAGAUAGAAACAGUUCCACUGCUCAAAAUUACUCCUGAAGGGAUGAGGACACCAGGAUAUGCCACUGGACCACUGAAGGAAUGGUGAUGGUAUGAAGAAAGUAUUUUUAAUGAGCAGAGCCAUUGUUUGCUCUGCUCUGUCCUCACCCCUCAAGAGAAUUUCCCUUAUUAUUAUGAAAACUUUUUAUCUUAAAAGAUAUUACAUGUUAAUGGAACUGUCGUUUAACAAAUGUUUUAUAAGUGUACCAAUCAAGCACAUUGUCGAAAUAAAAGAUAUGAAAUAAGUGAAAA
Molecule: long non-coding RNA, 411 nt
Filed under: Pan troglodytes (chimpanzee)
Lineage: Eukaryota; Metazoa; Chordata; Mammalia; Primates; Hominidae
Description: lincRNA
Source: RNAcentral